Molecule: ribosomal RNA, 433 nt
Filed under: uncultured bacterium
Lineage: Bacteria
Description: partial 16S ribosomal RNA
Rfam family: Bacterial small subunit ribosomal RNA
Source: RNAcentral
AACGAACGCUGGCGGCAGGCCUAACACAUGCAAGUCGAGCGGACCUUUCGGGGUCAGCGGCGGACGGGUGAGUAACGCGUGGGAAUAUGCCCUUCUCUACGGAAUAGUCCUGGGAAACUGGGGGUAAUACCGUAUACGCCCUUUGGGGGAAAGAUUUAUCGGGGAAGGAUUAGCCCGCGUUGGAUUAGGUAGUUGGUGGGGUAAUGGCCUACCAAGCCGACGAUCCAUAGCUGGUUUGAGAGGAUGAUCAGCCACACUGGGACUGAGACACGGCCCAGACUCCUACGGGAGGCAGCAGUGGGGAAUCUUAGACAAUGGGGGCAACCCUGAUCGAGCCAUGCCGCGUGAGUGAUGAAGGCCGUAGGGUUGUAAAGCGCUUUCAGCUGGGAAGAUAAUGACGGUACCAGCAGAAGAAGCCCCGGCUAACUCCGUG